UAUUAAUUUUUUGAAAUUGUAUGUAAUAUAAUUUCAACCGAGAACACCGCGUUAUUUUGAGUUUGUUAACUAGAAAAAAAUCGCAAAUACUCAAUUAACUUUGCAUCACGUAGUGAUGUACAGGUUAAGUUAAAAAGGGCGCAUGGUGAAUGCCUUGGCACUAGAAGCCGAUGAAGGACGGGACUAACACCGAUAUGCUUCGGGGAGCUGUACGUAAGCUUUGAUCCGGAGAUUUCCGAAUGGGGAAACCCAGCAGUUUUAAUCAGCUGUUACUAUAUGGUGAAUUCAUAGCUGUAUAGAGGUAGACGUGGGGAACUGAAACAUCUCAGUACCCACAGGAGCAGAAAGAAAUUUUCGAUUCCCUAAGUAGCGGCGAGCGAACGGGGAACAGCCCAAACCAAUGAGCUUGCUCAUUGGGGUUGUAGGACUGAACAUUUGAGUUACCAAAGUUGUUGAUAAUCGAACAAUCUGGGAAGGUUGGCGAAACAGGGUGAUAGCCCCGUAGGUGAAAUCAAUGACCCUCAGUUCAGGAUCCUGAGUACGGCGACACACGUGAAACGUCGUCGGAAUCCGGGAGGACCAUCUCCCAAGGCUAAAUACU
This 601-nucleotide small RNA is filed under the name Lactobacillus sp. NS111. RNAcentral describes it as "bacterial LSU rRNA". The stretch from base 123 to 601 matches the Rfam family "Bacterial large subunit ribosomal RNA", at positions 1 to 474 of the family's 2925-position model. Lineage: Bacteria; Bacillati; Bacillota; Bacilli; Lactobacillales; Lactobacillaceae. The record is from RNAcentral.